This 168-nucleotide unclassified non-coding RNA is filed under the name soil metagenome. Its description in RNAcentral is "partial internal transcribed spacer 1". The record is from RNAcentral.
CAAAAUGUGAUUCCUUGGUGUCGAGGCCUUCGGGCUUCCGCCGGGAUACCAACCCUUUGUGCACUGUAUUGUUUUUUGGGUGCUUCGAAGAGUGAGCAGUCAUUCGAGGAGCGCCCAGUCUAGUUAAACCUCUUAAUCUUUGACUUAUCCUAUAAUGUAAAUUAUAAA